AUUGAACGCUGGCGGCAGGCCUAACACAUGCAAGUCGAGCGGUAGAGAGGUGCUUGCAUCUCUUGAGAGCGGCGGACGGGUGAGUAAUGCCUAGGAAUCUGCCUAGUGGUGGGGGAUAACGUUCGGAAACGGACGCUAAUACCGCAUACGUCCUACGGGAGAAAGCGGGGGGAUCUUCGGACCUCGCGCCAUUAGAUGAGCCUAGGUCGGAUUAGCUAGUUGGUGAGGUAAUGGCUCACCAAGGCGACGAUCCGUAACUGGUCUGAGAGGAUGAUCAGUCACACUGGAACUGAGACACGGUCCAGACUCCUACGGGAGGCAGCAGUGGGGAAUAUUGGACAAUGGGCGAAAGCCUGAUCCAGCCAUGCCGCGUGUGUGAAGAAGGUCUUCGGAUUGUAAAGCACUUUAAGUUGGGAGGAAGGGUAGUAACCUAAUACGUUGCUACUUUGACGUUACCGUACAGAAUAAGCACCGGCUAAC
This 480-nucleotide ribosomal RNA is filed under the name uncultured bacterium. Its description in RNAcentral is "bacterial SSU rRNA". It matches the Rfam family "Bacterial small subunit ribosomal RNA", at positions 30 to 501 of the family's 1533-position model. The record is from RNAcentral.